GAUGAAGAACGCAGCGAAAUGCGAUAAGUAAUGUGAAUUGCAGAAUUCAGUGAAUCAUCGAAUCUUUGAACGCACAUUGCGCCCGCCAGUAUUCUGGCGGGCAUGCCUGUUCGAGCGUCAUUUCAACCAUCAAGCCCCCGGCUUGUGUUGGGGACCUGCGGCUGCCGCAGGCCCUGAAAACCAGUGGCGGGCUCGCUAGUCACUCCGAGCGUAGUAAUACAUCUCGCUCAGGGCGUGCUGCGGGUUCCGGCCGUUAAAAAAGCCUUAUUUACCCAAGGUUGACCUCGGAUCAGGUAGGAAGACCCGCUGAACUUAAGCAUAUCAAUAGCGGAGGA
RNAcentral lists this unclassified non-coding RNA (335 nucleotides) under soil metagenome. RNAcentral's name for it is "partial contains 5.8S ribosomal RNA, internal transcribed spacer 2, and large subunit ribosomal RNA". The stretch from base 1 to 120 matches the Rfam family "5.8S ribosomal RNA", at positions 35 to 154 of the family's 154-position model. The record is from RNAcentral.